AUUUACAAGUACUAUGAUUCAUUUUUGAUCAUAUACAUUGCAUCCAUGUACAUUCAUGAUUCUUGUACUUCAUUACACAUUACAUCAUUUCUUUCUUACAUCACAUUUACCUCAAAAUAAGCUUUACAUUCUUUUCUCAACAUCACUAGUCAUCAAAUACAAAGAUGAACAAAGGGUAUUCUACCAACAAAAUGUAAACCCAACUCAACUCUGGUGGCCUUUGUCUAAGACGCGAUACCUUUACCUCGGUCGCUCGCCGGCUCGCUCGGUCCCGGCUCUAUAGAAAUAGUGGGGUGAGAACUAUAACAAAGUUCCCAGUGGAUUCGGCCUCAACAUCACCGACUUUCCCACUAGGACUAACUCAGGCAUAAUAGAAAGAAUAAGCUGCAUAUAGUAACCAAUCUAUACAUG
Molecule: long non-coding RNA, 411 nt
Filed under: Ananas comosus (pineapple)
Lineage: Eukaryota; Viridiplantae; Streptophyta; Magnoliopsida; Poales; Bromeliaceae
Description: long non-coding RNA (ACOM_LNC044832)
Source: RNAcentral